AAUAAUUAAUAUAUCAUGUGAAGGUUGCAAAAGCCCUUAGAUUAUUUGAUUUUGACUCACUCUCGAGACUGACAGUCUCAGUUGUAAUUUUAUUCAGGUGACAGUUAAAGACUUUCGCCUUCGCACAUUCGACAGUCCGACUUCUUCUUUUUCGGACUUUUGUAAUUAUCUUGUACUUGUAUACUUGUCAUUUUUACUCUAGAGUAUCCGCAGUAGGAAAUUUUAAAAUUUGUAUAACUAUUCUGACUCUUGUUGGUAGUUUGAUGAUGUAUUAUGCAAGACAAUUAUGACUAUUUUAUAUUUGGUUAAUUGUAUAUUUGGAUUUGCGGGUUGGUAAGGCUUACUACGGGUUUCGGUGGCCUUAAGCCUACCCAUUCCCUAGUGCCGGUCACGGGCCCCCAGAGUGGGUCGUGACAAU
This 418-nucleotide long non-coding RNA is filed under the name Ricinus communis (castor bean). RNAcentral's name for it is "long non-coding RNA (RCOM_LNC003472)". Lineage: Eukaryota; Viridiplantae; Streptophyta; Magnoliopsida; Malpighiales; Euphorbiaceae. The record is from RNAcentral.